AUUGAACGCUGGCGGCAGGCCUAACACAUGCAAGUCGAGCGGAUGAAGGGAGCUUGCUCCUGGAUUCAGCGGCGGACGGGUGAGUAAUGCCUAGGAAUCUGCCUGGUAGUGGGGGAUAACGUCCGGAAACGGGCGCUAAUACCGCAUACGUCCUGAGGGAGAAAGUGGGGGAUCUUCGGACCUCACGCUAUCAGAUGAGCCUAGGUCGGAUUAGCUAGUUGGUGGGGUAAAGGCCUACCAAGGCGACGAUCCGUAACUGGUCUGAGAGGAUGAUCAGUCACACUGGAACUGAGACACGGUCCAGGCUCCUACGGGAGGUAGCAGUGGGGAAUAUUGGACAAUGGGCGAAAGCCUGAUCCAGCCAUGCCGCGUGUGUGAAGAAGGUCUUCGGAUUGUAAAGCACUUUAAGUUGGGAGGAAGGGCAGUAAGUUAAUACCUUGCUGUUUUGACGUUACCAACAGAAUAAGCACCGGCUAACUUCGUG
RNAcentral lists this ribosomal RNA (484 nucleotides) under uncultured bacterium. Its description in RNAcentral is "partial 16S ribosomal RNA". It matches the Rfam family "Bacterial small subunit ribosomal RNA", at positions 30 to 507 of the family's 1533-position model. The record is from RNAcentral.